GUAUUGGACUCCUAAUGGGAUGAGUCUCUUAUCUAGUUAACUGGCCGAUAUAUAUACAAGGAGAAGCCCCUGCACUCAACACGCUUACAUUCAGCUUUAGUCCCAUACUAACGUUCUAAGUGUUGAACUGCGGAAGGCUUAACUCUUGCUUCUAAGUGCAGCUGCUAUUGCAAGAUGUCGACCUCAAUGAACCAGUCCACAGGUGUGUAUUCUAGCCUUUUAGAAAUAUAAUUGCAGUUGGUAUUUGGUGUGUGCUUGUGUUUGUGUUCUUAUGCUAUUGAGUUUAUUAUGUGUUUAUUCAGAUAUGCAAAACACCUAAUACAAUUAACAAUUUAUUGUUGGUAUUUUGCGAGAGGAUAAUAAUCUUUUGUAAUCUCAGAACAAUAUUGAUUUCCGAUUCGGUGGCCUCUUUUUGUUUCAGUCUGGUUUUGUAAGAUAUAAGGAUUCUGUGAUGAACUCAAUCUUAGGCUACAACGAUCAAUGUUGUUUAUGAAAAGCGUAAUACAUUAUACAUGCACAAUAAAAUGAAUAACAUGUGCUCGAUCAAUCUGUAUAACAUGUAUACAGUAUACGUUUAGGCCUUCUUAAUCAAGAAUUUAAGUCUCAAAGUAUGAUAUGAAAUUGUCAUUGAAGAUGUACAGAAACCCACGACCCAGACUCGGCCUUUUUUUUAAUAAAAAAAAAUGUUUUAUUAAUAACUCACACACCCUACAUAUGUCCGUGAGGUUUGAACCCGUGACUUCAAAGUUGUUAGACCCAGACUCGGCCUUGUAAUUAAGCUAAUUCUAUAAGUCGUGUUUCUUCAUAUACUAAAGGAUUUUUGUAGCUUUUACUAUAAUGCAAUUUCGCUAUCUGUUAGUGAAUUAUUUUUCCCAACAUACUAUUUCUAGCUGCUAAAGUAUACAUAAUCAUCUUGGAAUAAGCCAAUAAUAUUCAACUCACUCUGUCUAUCUUGUAUAUUGACAAUAAGCAAAUAGAUUGCAGUAUAGAACUGGAAAUUUAAUCACAGUUUUCAUCAAAAGGGUGAUAGAGCAUAUCGAUAGGUGCAUGAGUAGCUUUAGCUCGCUUCUGCUAAUGUCUAUUUUUGUAUCAUAAAUGGAUGCUAUAUGUAAAACUUGGAAGACUAAGGAUAAAAUAGAAUAUCGAUAUGAGCAAAUAUAAUGCACCCCAAAUUCCAAAUAAUUUGAUCAAGCAAAGAAUGAUGCGACAAUGUCGAGAUAACCAAAAUUGAUACGAAAAGCCUACACAACAUGCCAGCCCCAAAAUUUGGUUAAUCUACCCAAGACAUACAAAUUUGCUAAUAACAUAACCACGCCAACGAUUUGCCAUGGUUUUAAGCUUGCUCGGCAAGGAUCUUCCAGUCCUGCAACAACAAAUGAAAUUGGCUUAAAUGAGAUUGGUCGAAACUGAGCUCAUAUAUGGUCUUAAAAAUAAAAUUCUAAUACCUCAUGGUUCUUGUCUUGGUGUUGAUUUUGGACUUCUUUUCAGCAGAGACGUGAAGGCUGUCGUCGGUAUCAAACUUAGAAACAUACUCUGGAGCUGGAGGAGUGUUGUUGAGCAUAAACUCACCUUGCUUAGUUUCACUUACACCUCCAUUCUCA
This 1601-nucleotide long non-coding RNA is filed under the name Fragaria vesca (wild strawberry). RNAcentral describes it as "long non-coding RNA (FVES_LNC000540)". The record is from RNAcentral. Lineage: Eukaryota; Viridiplantae; Streptophyta; Magnoliopsida; Rosales; Rosaceae.